AGUGAACGCUGGCGGUAGGCCUAACACAUGCAAGUCGAACGGCAGCACAGUAAGAGCUUGCUCUUACGGGUGGCGAGUGGCGGACGGGUGAGGAAUACAUCGGAAUCUACUUUUUCGUGGGGGAUAACGUAGGGAAACUUACGCUAAUACCGCAUACGACCUACGGGUGAAAGCAGGGGAUCUUCGGACCUUUCGCGAUUGAAUGAGCCGAUGUCGGAUUAGCUAGUUGGCGGGGUAAAGGCCCACCAAGGCGACGAUCCGUAGCUGGUCUGAGAGGAUGACCAGCCACACUGGAACUGAGACACGGUCCAGACUCCUACGGGAGGCAGCAGUGGGGAAUAUUGGACAAUGGGCGCAAGCCUGAUCCAGCCAUACCGCGUGGGUGAAGAAGGCCUUCGGGUUGUAAAGCCCUUUUGUUGGGAAAGAAAAGCAGCAGGUUAAUACCCCGCUGUUCUGACGGUACCCAAAGAAUAAGCACCGGCUAACUUCGUG
RNAcentral lists this ribosomal RNA (492 nucleotides) under uncultured bacterium. RNAcentral's name for it is "partial 16S ribosomal RNA". It matches the Rfam family "Bacterial small subunit ribosomal RNA", at positions 29 to 507 of the family's 1533-position model. The record is from RNAcentral.